Molecule: non-coding RNA, 913 nt
Organism: Camelina sativa (false flax)
Lineage: Eukaryota; Viridiplantae; Streptophyta; Magnoliopsida; Brassicales; Brassicaceae
Source: RefSeq, a predicted model, not a curated record
UGUAUUCAAUCGGAAUUGAAAAUUUAGCAUGGAGGUUUGAUAUACGUAUACUCAUCCUUUGUACUAUAACUCAAACAUGUAUAUACAAGAAAUUUAGCUGUCUAAGUAUUCCCCUAUUCGGGAAAAACGUAAAUCUAAUGUAAAAAAGUUUUUUUUCUCUCUCUUCUCUCUCUUUCAUCUUUCAGAGAGAAAGAAAACUUUUCCGUUCAUGUUAAAUCUAAUGUAAAAAAGUCUUUUUCGGUGAAUUCUGUCUCGUUUAAAGUGGGUUUCUCGUCUAGCUGCACCGACUCUCUCAGCGGUGUAGACUGGCUUUGCUUCCGGCGUAGAUGGCUUUGUUAGCAUUUUCGGCUGGCCUUGCUUCUGGCGUAGAUGGCUUCAUUAGCAUCUUCGGCCGGCUUUGUUUCUGACAUAGGUGGUGUCGUUCACACUGGUGGUCGGCUCUCUUCCAGUAUUGUUGGCUCUUUCAGCUACGGUGGAUGGUUUUGAUUUAGUUGCAGAUCCUUGGGUUUAAAAGUUUAUGGUGCAGAUCUACUUUCUUGAAGAUUGAAAACCUAUUGAUUGAAGAAGAAGAUUAAGAAGUUUUGCUUUAGGUGGAGUCAUAUUCUCAGCAAAUCGGAACUCGCCUUGUUUUGUGGGUGCAGAUCGAGAAUUUCCUGUAGCUUCUCGGCGUUUUCGGCCGAAUUUGAAGUUUUCUGGCAAUACUUUCCGAUGUCGGUGAUCGGAGACUCCAGCUUCUUCGACUUCGCACGUGUCAUCUAUCUUGUCUAUCCUUUGCCACGUGUAUUGUGAGUGGAUGCUUCUGUUCAGUCUUCAAGAAAGGGUUUUUUAUUUGGGCAUGUGGGCUUGUAUUUGAAACUUUUUUAUUUAGGGUUGCUUGUAGUAUUGGGCCAUUGGCUUUCGUUUUUGCUUGUAA